Long non-coding RNA from Pseudophryne corroboree (corroboree frog), 393 nucleotides. RefSeq lists it as uncharacterized. Lineage: Eukaryota; Metazoa; Chordata; Amphibia; Anura; Myobatrachidae. The transcript has 3 exons. The record is from RefSeq and is a predicted model, not a curated record.
GGAAAGAUGUUUUGGUGUGCUGAAGUCACGGUUUCGGUGUCUGGAUAAAUCUGCAGGCCUUUUGUUGUAUAGUCCCUCAAAGAUAACUGAGGGGAUCGGGGCUCAUCACUCUGCGAACUCGCCAAUAGUGCCAGUGGUGGCUGGGGUGACACUGCCGAAAGUCGUCGCCUGGGUGGGGAUGAUGGAGCCGCAGAUUCCGAGCCAAGACGCCGUGUCUUACUUGGCCUCCUGGAAUAUGUGACUACAGUGAAGACUUACCUGCAAUCCCAGCCUCAUCCUGACUUGUCUGAGGCCUGUCUGGCCGGCUGGUCUGUGGAACUGUUGAAAAAGUGUUCCAAACAUUAUUACCAUGCUUUGUGUUAAAAAAACCACUGCAAAGCCUUAUUGUACUGU